UUGUAUAUAUUUUUUAUACGAACUCAAAACUACAGAGUCCAAAACUCAAUUUUGAUACGCAGAAUUGCAGAAUUGCCCAUGUGAUGCUCCGAAUCCUCCGACGGGUUACACCAUAUCGAGAAGUUAUCCAAUGAGAAAGCCGCUUAAAUUUUGGAGGAUCUAUGAUGGACGACAGAGAAAAAUAACGCUUUGUUUGUGAAAGAUUUUUUGAGCGCAAGCAAGGAUUAUUAAAACGAAAACCAAGCCAAACCAACUAAAUACCCAAAACGACAAAAAUCGACAAAAAACGACGAAAAACGAACAAAAAUCCUAAAAUCCAUUCGCAAGUUUUUCGGGCAAAGCAUCGAAAACACACUUUUGAGAUUCGAAAAAUCAAAGCGAAACGAACAAAAACAAACUGGAAAGGAGCAGAAAAGACCUGGAGGACGAGAACGGGUGUAAAACGAAGGGAAAUACAAAUCAAAUUUAAAUAAAAUUAAAUGCAAAGGACAUUCGCAUGUGUGUGGUGGUGGAAAGAAAAUUCAAAACAAAAUUCACAAUUAGAAAACGCAGGAAAAAACGUAGAAAACGCAGACACAAAAUCAAGAGUGCCAGCAGCAACAGCAGCAACCAACUGUCAACAGCGGGAAGAAUUUUGAACUGGAACAUUUCGACCAAAAAGUUUGUUGGGCGACAGCAAAAUUUCAACGUUUGGCGCACUACAACACAGCAGCAAACAGCAGCAAGGACAUCGCGGCCAGGCAGCCAGGAUUGCAGGAGCGAGCGGUUUUGAAAGCGCAACACACAUCGACAAACCCUUCUCACACGGACUAGUACUCACACUCGGAUCGGAACCAGGAUACCUUUUGGCUUAGAAAGCGGCCCAAGGAAAAGCCGCAGCCAGAACCUUAAGCUCAAAAUCACGCAUACGCCGCGGCGAACUCGCGCUCUCUCUUUGCCGGAACGAAGGGGAAGCAAAGCCAGAGCAAAAACCGACCAGCCAAUCCGAGGAAGCGGAGAGGGUGCCAGAGGGUUGCUGAGGGGAAAGCAGGCAGCGAAGGCAGCAAAGGCAGCGAAAGCAGGGAAUUCAUCGAGAGCUGAGAAGCGCGAGGCGAGAGAGCUGCUGCUGCUGGUGGGC
RNAcentral lists this small RNA (1117 nucleotides) under Drosophila yakuba. Its description in RNAcentral is "GE29252". Lineage: Eukaryota; Metazoa; Arthropoda; Insecta; Diptera; Drosophilidae. The record is from RNAcentral.